UGACGCCGCGUGCGGGAUGACGCCUUUCGGGUGUAAACCGCUUUUCCCAGGGACGAGGAUGGACGGUACCUGGGAAUAAGUCUCGGCUAACUACGUGC
This 98-nucleotide ribosomal RNA is filed under the name uncultured bacterium. Its description in RNAcentral is "partial 16S ribosomal RNA". It matches the Rfam family "Bacterial small subunit ribosomal RNA", at positions 392 to 508 of the family's 1533-position model. The record is from RNAcentral.